CAGGCUUAACACAUGCAAGUCGAGGGGCAGCAUGGUCUUAGCUUGCUAAGGCCGAUGGCGACCGGCGCACGGGUGAGUAACACGUAUCCAACCUGCCGUCUACUCUUGGACAGCCUUCUGAAAGGAAGAUUAAUACAAGAUGGCAUCAUGAGUCCGCAUGUUCACAUGAUUAAAGGUAUUCCGGUAGACGAUGGGGAUGCGUUCCAUUAGAUAGUAGGCGGGGUAACGGCCCACCUAGUCUUCGAUGGAUAGGGGUUCUGAGAGGAAGGUCCCCCACAUUGGAACUGAGACACGGUCCAAACUCCUACGGGAGGCAGCAGUGAGGAAUAUUGGUCAAUGGGCGAGAGCCUGAACCAGCCAAGUAGCGUGAAGGAUGACUGCCCUAUGGGUUGUAAACUUCUUUUAUAAAGGAAUAAAGUCGGGUAUGGAUACCCGUUUGCAUGUACUUUAUGAAUAAGGAUCGGCUAACUCCGUGCCAGCAGCCGCGGUAAUACGGAGGAUCCGAGCGUUAUCCGGAUUUAUUGGGUUUAAAGGGAGCGUAGAUGGAUGUUUAAGUCAGUUGUGAAAGUUUGCGGCUCAACCGUAAAAUUGCAGUUGAUACUGGAUAUCUUGAGUGCAGUUGAGGCAGGCGGAAUUCGUGGUGUAGCGGUGAAAUGCUUAGAUAUCACGAAGAACUCCGAUUGCGAAGGCAGCCUGCUAAGCUGCAACUGACAUUGAGGCUCGAAAGUGUGGGUAUCAAACAGGAUUAGAUACCCUGGUAGUCCACACGGUAAACGAUGAAUACUCGCUGUUUGCGAUAUACUGCAAGCGGCCAAGCGAAAGCGUUAAGUAUUCCACCUGGGGAGUACGCCGGCAACGGUGAAACUCAAAGGAAUUGACGGGGGCCCGCACAAGCGGAGGAACAUGUGGUUUAAUUCGAUGAUACGCGAGGAACCUUACCCGGGCUUAAAUUGCAGAUGAAUUACGGUGAAAGCCGUAAGCCGCAAGGCAUCUGUGAAGGUGCUGCAUGGUUGUCGUCAGCUCGUGCCGUGAGGUGUCGGCUUAAGUGCCAUAACGAGCGCAACCCUUGUUGUCAGUUACUAACAGGUUCCGCUGAGGACUCUGACAAGACUGCCAUCGUAAGAUGUGAGGAAGGUGGGGAUGACGUCAAAUCAGCACGGCCCUUACGUCCGGGGCUACACACGUGUUACAAUGGGGGGUACAGAGGGCCGCUACCACGCGAGUGGAUGCCAAUCCCCAAAACCUCUCUCAGUUCGGACUGGAGUCUGCAACCCGACUCCACGAAGCUGGAUUCGCUAGUAAUCGCGCAUCAGCCUCGGCGCGGUGAAUACGUUCCCGGGCCUUGUACACACCGCCCGUCAAGCCAUGGGAGCCGGGGGUACCUGAAGUGCGUAACCGCGAGGAGCGCCCUAGGGUAAAACUGGUGACUGGGGCUAA
Molecule: ribosomal RNA, 1437 nt
Filed under: uncultured bacterium
Lineage: Bacteria
Description: 16S ribosomal RNA
Rfam family: Bacterial small subunit ribosomal RNA
Source: RNAcentral